UACGUAGGGGGCAAGCGUUGUCCGGAUUUAUUGGGCGUAAAGAGCGUGUAGGCGGCUAGAUAGGUCCGUUGUGAAAACUCGAGGCUCAACCUCGAGACGUCGAUGGAAACCAUCUGGCUAGAGUCCGGAAGAGGAGAGUGGAAUUCCUGGUGUAGCGGUGAAAUGCGUAGAGAUGUGGAGGAACACCGAUGGCGAAGGCAGCCCCCUGGGUCAAGAUUGACGCUCAUGCACGAAAGCGUGGGGAGCAAACAGG
Molecule: ribosomal RNA, 253 nt
Filed under: uncultured bacterium
Lineage: Bacteria
Description: partial 16S ribosomal RNA
Rfam family: Bacterial small subunit ribosomal RNA
Source: RNAcentral